This 75-nucleotide transfer RNA is filed under the name Candidatus Woesearchaeota archaeon. RNAcentral's name for it is "tRNA-Arg". It matches the Rfam family "tRNA". Rfam says of the family: Transfer RNA (tRNA) molecules are approximately 80 nucleotides in length. Their secondary structure includes four short double-helical elements and three loops (D, anti-codon, and T loops). Lineage: Archaea; Nanobdellati; Candidatus Woesearchaeota. The record is from RNAcentral.
GGGCCCGUAGCCUAGUCUGGAUAGGGCACCAGCCUUCUAAGCUGGGGGUCGUGGGUUCAAAUCCCACCGGGCCCG